AUUGAACGCUGGCGGCAUGCCUUACACAUGCAAGUCGAACGGUAACGGGCCUUCGGGUGCCGACGAGUGGCGAACGGGUGAGUAAUACAUCGGAACGUGCCCGAUCGUGGGGGAUAACGAGGCGAAAGCUUUGCUAAUACCUCAUACGAUCUACGGAUGAAAGCAGGGGACCGCAAGGCCUUGCGCGGACGGAGCGGCCGCUGGCAGAUUAGGUAGUUGGUGGGUUAAAAGCUUACCAAGCCGACGAUCUGUAGCUGGUCUGAGAGGAUGAUCCGCCACACUGGGACUGAGGCACGGCCCAGACUCCUACGGGAGGCAGCAGUGGGGAAUUUUGGACAAUGGGCGCAAGCCUGAUCCAGCCAUGCCGCGUGCAGGAUGAAGGCCUUCGGGUUGUAAACUGCUUUUGUACGGAACGAAAAGCCUUCUUUUAAUACAGGAGGGUCAUGACGGUACCGUAAGAAUAAGCACCGGCUAACUACGUG
Molecule: ribosomal RNA, 482 nt
Filed under: uncultured bacterium
Lineage: Bacteria
Description: partial 16S ribosomal RNA
Rfam family: Bacterial small subunit ribosomal RNA
Source: RNAcentral